ACAUAUUCUACUUGAGUGUGACGUCAUUCCCAGCUUCGGCUUCUGAGUUCUGAGGUAAAUGAAACGCAGUAUAAU
Long non-coding RNA from Etheostoma spectabile (orangethroat darter), 75 nucleotides. RefSeq lists it as uncharacterized. The record is from RefSeq and is a predicted model, not a curated record. The transcript is spliced from 3 exons. NCBI's taxonomy places the organism in Eukaryota, Metazoa, Chordata, Actinopteri, Perciformes, Percidae.